UCGGGAAUAUUGCGCAAUGGAGGAAACUCUGACGCAGUGACGCCGCGUGCAGGAAGAAGGUUUUCGGAUUGUAAACUGCUUUAGACAGGGAAGAAUAAUGACAGUACCUGUAGAAUAAGCUCCGGCUAACUACGUGCCAGCAGCCGCGGUAAUACGUAGGGAGCAAGCGUUAUCCGGAUUUAUUGGGUGUAAAGGGUGCGUAGACGGGAGAGCAAGUUGGUUGUGAAAUCCCUCGGCUUAACUGAGGAACUGCAACCAAAACUAUUCUUCUUGAGUGCUGGAGAGGAAAGUGGAAUUCCUAGUGUAGCGGUGAAAUGCGUAGAUAUUAGGAGGAACACCAGUGGCGAAGGCGACUUUCUGGACAGUAACUGACGUUGAGGCACGAAAGUGUGGGGAGCAAACA
RNAcentral lists this ribosomal RNA (403 nucleotides) under uncultured bacterium. Its description in RNAcentral is "bacterial SSU rRNA". It matches the Rfam family "Bacterial small subunit ribosomal RNA", at positions 355 to 774 of the family's 1533-position model. The record is from RNAcentral.